AUUUUCGUUGGAGCUGAGCCAAUGCCUAUCACAACGAGUCCAAGCCGCAGGCCCGCACCAAGUCAACCGUCGCUCUCAGCUGCUAUGGCGACAACGGUGGCGGCUGCUGCUGCUGCUGCUUCUAAAACGGCGACGGUGCACUGUAAGAGCCCUGCUGCUCUCCUCGGAAUUGAGUCCCCCUACAGCGGGCGACGGCGCGUUGGUGCAAGGCCGCGAGGCGGCAGCCGACAGGCAGGGCAGAUAGCGGAGCGCCAGAGCGGCCGCGCGAGCCGCGAGCAGCAGGCCAGCGGCAGCGUGGCGCUGCGGGAGCACGUGAGCAGGAGCAGCAGUGCAGCAGGAGUCCGGCGGCGGCGCGGGAGUGCGUUGCGCGCGAGCAGGAGCAGCCAAGCAGCAGCAGCGCCGUAGGAGUGAGAAGGUCUGCAGGGAGCAGCAGCUAGCAUGCCAGCCAGAAGGUUGAUAUGAUGGAAAAGGACUGAAGUUUGGAUCCAAACUUUAAAUCUAAACACAGCCCACGACGAAACGCGCUUCUGAUCUACAAUGACAUCAGGAAAAGAGAAAUGGAAGCUAGCAGCGCCAAAGGAAGAGCUGAGACUCUGAUUGUCUGUCUAGUGUCCACUGCAGAUAAGGAACUUGAAGUGCAUAUGGCCAAUAUAGCUAAAUUAGCUUGUACUACUCCUGAAGGGCGUUGUUUUGUUUGUCUUUUUCUUCUGAAAUCUGGACCAGAUGGUCUUGCAUGCUGUGAAUAUAUGGUGUUGUAAACAGUUGUCAAUGAGCACAUUGUAAUUUCUACUUAUCAGAUUAGGUACAGUGAUCUCAUAUGAAUACAUAUUUCCAGAUUUCAUCA
Molecule: long non-coding RNA, 844 nt
Organism: Oryza sativa Japonica Group (Japanese rice)
Lineage: Eukaryota; Viridiplantae; Streptophyta; Magnoliopsida; Poales; Poaceae
Source: RefSeq, a predicted model, not a curated record